RNAcentral lists this ribosomal RNA (468 nucleotides) under uncultured bacterium. RNAcentral describes it as "partial 16S ribosomal RNA". It matches the Rfam family "Bacterial small subunit ribosomal RNA", at positions 28 to 507 of the family's 1533-position model. The record is from RNAcentral.
GACGAACGCUGGCGGCGUGCUUAACACAUGCAAGUCGAACGGAAAGGCCCUGCUUUUGUGGGGUGCUCGAGUGGCGAACGGGUGAGUAACACGUGAGUAACCUGCCCUUGACUUUGGGAUAACUUCAGGAGACUGGGGCUAAUACCGGAUAGGAGCUCCUGCUGCAUGGUGGGGGUUGGAAAGUUUCGGCCGUUGGGGCUGGACUCGCGGCUUAUCAGCUUGUUGGUGGGGUAGUGGCUUACCAAGGCUUUGACGGGUAGCCGGCCUGAGAGGGUGACCGGCCACAUGGGGACUGAGAGACGGCCCAGACUCCUACGGGAGGCAGCAGGGGGGAAUAUUGCACAAUGGGCGGAAGCCUGAUGCAGCAACGCCGCGUGCGUGAUGACGGCCUUCGGGUUGUAAACCGCUUUCGCCGGAGACGAAGCGUGAGUGACGGUAAUGGGUAAAGAAGCACCGGCUAACUACGUG